GACGAACGCUGGCGGCGUGCUUAACACAUGCAAGUCGAACGGAAAGGCCCUGCUUUUGUGGGGUGCUCGAGUGGCGAACGGGUGAGUAACACGUGAGUAACCUGCCCUUGACUUUGGGAUAACUUCAGGAAACUGGGGCUAAUACCGGAUAGGAGCUCCUGCUGCAUGGUGGGGGUUGGAAAGUUUCGGCGGUUGGGGCUGGACUCGCGGCUUAUCAGCUUGUUGGUGGGGUAGUGGCUUACCAAGGAUUUGACGGGUAGCCGGCCUGAGAGGGUGACCGGCCACAUUGGGACUGAGAUACGGCCCAGACUCCUACGGGAGGCAGCAGUGGGGAAUAUUGCACAAUGGGCGGAAGCCUGAUGCAGCAACGCCGCGUGCGGGAUGACGGCCUUCGGGUUGUAAACCGCUUUCGCCUGUGACGAAGCGUGAGUGACGGUAAUGGGUAAAGAAGCACCGGCUAACUACGUG
This 468-nucleotide ribosomal RNA is filed under the name uncultured bacterium. RNAcentral's name for it is "partial 16S ribosomal RNA". It matches the Rfam family "Bacterial small subunit ribosomal RNA", at positions 28 to 507 of the family's 1533-position model. The record is from RNAcentral.